Molecule: small RNA, 567 nt
Filed under: Pan troglodytes (chimpanzee)
Lineage: Eukaryota; Metazoa; Chordata; Mammalia; Primates; Hominidae
Description: processed transcript
Source: RNAcentral
UUUAACUCUUUUGAUUUUCUCACCUCUGGGGAAACCACAAGGAGCUGGUAAGAAGCCUGACCUUUCAUCUGCUUUUUAACGGGGUGUGCUAUGAUGAGCAGUUGUUUCUCUGUCCUUUAGACUCUACUAAAUCUUUCAUUCCUCUAUUCAGUCCCACACCCAGCCUUUUCCUAUCUCACAAGUCACUGUAAUUAUACUGCCCCCAACUCAUGCCCCAGAUCUUCAAGACACUGCUGGAGUAGGUGCUACUGGAGGACUAGAGUGUGCUCCUGGGCCACAGCCUUGGAGAGGCUCCAGAGGAUGCCAGCGCCAGGAGGAGCUGACAAGCACAAGUGUGGAACACAUCAUUGUCAAUCCUAAUGCUGCCUAUGACAAGUUCAAGGACAAGAGAGUGGGGACAAAGGGACUUGAUUUCUCAGAUCGUAUUGGAAAAACCAAGAGGACAGGAUAUGAAUCUGGAGAAUAUGAGAUGCUUGGAGAGGGUCUGGGAGUGAAGGAGACACCCCAGCAAAAGUACCAGCGCCUACUGCAUGAGGUCCAAGAGCUGACAACUGAAGUUGAAAAAAU